UACGUAGGGUGCAAGCGUUAAUCGGAAUUACUGGGCGUAAAGCGUGCGCAGGCGGCUUUGCAAGACAGAUGUGAAAUCCCCGGGCUUAACCUGGGAACUGCAUUUGUGACUGCAAGGCUAGAGUACGGUAGAGGGGGAUGGAAUUCCGCGUGUAGCAGUGAAAUGCGUAGAUAUGCGGAGGAACACCGAUGGCGAAGGCAAUCCCCUGGGCCUGUACUGACGCUCAUGCACGAAAGCGUGGGGAGCAAACAGG
This 253-nucleotide ribosomal RNA is filed under the name uncultured bacterium. Its description in RNAcentral is "partial 16S ribosomal RNA". It matches the Rfam family "Bacterial small subunit ribosomal RNA", at positions 524 to 776 of the family's 1533-position model. The record is from RNAcentral.